CUCUCCAGCAUCGUGUGUGAAUGCUGUCUUGAUUCCCUCUACGACAAUAGAGGACUGAACUUCUGAAACUCUCCUGAAUUUUGAGUGUUACCGUAAUAUGAUGAAGCCUGGGUAUGCAAGAAGAAGAGGGGGAAGAGUUCAAGAAUCAAACAUCAAGAACUGAAGGCCAUUCUGAGAAUGCUGUCUGCCUGUGAAGACCCAUAAUGCAUAGUUAUUCUAUAGACCUGAGAGGACAAGGGCACUUAUAAGAAGAUGAAGGCACUUGGUUUUCUUGCAGAGGAUCCAGGAUUGAGUCUCAGGAUCCACAUGGUGGCUCAUAUCUGUAACUCCAGGUCCAGAAGAUCUAGUCUUAGUGGGCACAAGGUACCCACAUGCUAUACGUACAUGUAUGCAGGCAAAUAUUAAUGCACACAAAAUAAAAAGGUGCUCACCUGAAGAAACUAGAGAAUAGCCUCACCAGAGUGUUGACAUCACAACUGAAAGCUCUAGAAAAAAUAGAAGCAAAUUCACCCCAAGGAGCAGACACCAGGAAAUAAUCAAACUGAGGGCAGAAAACAAUAAAGUCAAAACAAAGAAAACAAUUCAAAGAAGCAAUGUAAUAAAGAGUU
Molecule: long non-coding RNA, 608 nt
Filed under: Cricetulus griseus (Chinese hamster)
Lineage: Eukaryota; Metazoa; Chordata; Mammalia; Rodentia; Cricetidae
Description: lncRNA (ENSCGRG00015035786.1)
Source: RNAcentral